This 253-nucleotide ribosomal RNA is filed under the name uncultured bacterium. RNAcentral's name for it is "partial 16S ribosomal RNA". It matches the Rfam family "Bacterial small subunit ribosomal RNA", at positions 524 to 776 of the family's 1533-position model. The record is from RNAcentral.
UACGUAGGGUGCAAUCGUUAAUCGGAAUUACUGGGCGUAAAGCGUGCGCAGGCGGCUAUGCAAGACAGAUGUGAAAUCCCCGGGCUCAACCUGGGAACUGCAUUUGUGACUCCAUGGCUAGAGUACGGCAGAGGGGGAUGGAAUUCCGCGUGUAGCAGUGAAAUGCGUAGAUAUGCGGAGGAACACCGAUGGCGAAGGCAAUCCCCUGGGCCUGUACUGACGCUCAUGCACGAAAGCGUGGGGAGCAAACAGG